AGGGAUCAUUGCUGGAACGCGCCCCAGGCGCACCCAGAAACCCUUUGUGAACUUAUACCUUACUGUUGCCUCGGCGCUAGCUGGUCCUCCGGGGCCCCUCACCCCCGGGUGUUGAGACAGCCCGCCGGCGGCCAACCCAACUCUUGUUUUUACACUGAAACUCUGAGCACAAAACAUAAAUGAAUCAAAACUUUCAACAACGGAUCUCUUGGUUCUGGCAUCGAUGAAGAACGCAGCGAAAUGCGAUAAGUAAUGUGAAUUGCAGAAUUCAGUGAAUCAUCGAAUCUUUGAACGCACAUUGCGCCCUCUGGUAUUCCGGAGGGCAUGCCUGUUCGAGCGUCAUUUCAACCCUCAAGCCUGGCUUGGUGAUGGGGCACUGCUUUUACCCAAAAGCAGGCCCUGAAAUUCAGUGGCGAGCUCGCCAGGACCCCGAGCGCAGUAGUUAAACCCUCGCUCUGGAAGGCCCUGGCGGUGCCCUGCCGUUAAACCCCCAACUUCUGAAAAUUUGACCUCGGAUCAGGUAGGAAUACCCGCUGAACUUAA
This 543-nucleotide ribosomal RNA is filed under the name Diaporthe sp. RNAcentral describes it as "eukaryotic LSU rRNA". The stretch from base 189 to 342 matches the Rfam family "5.8S ribosomal RNA". The record is from RNAcentral. Lineage: Eukaryota; Fungi; Ascomycota; Sordariomycetes; Diaporthales; Diaporthaceae.